CCUACGGGCGGCUGCAGUAGGGAAUAUUGCUCAAUGGGGGAAACCCUGAAGCAGCAACGCCGCGUGGAGGAUGAAGGUUUUCGGAUUGUAAACUCCUUUUGUUAGAGAAGAUAAUGACGGUAUCUAACGAAUAAGCACCGGCUAACUCCGUGCCAGCAGCCGCGGUAAUACGGAGGGUGCAAGCGUUACUCGGAAUCACUGGGGGGAAAGAGCGCGGAGGCGGGAUAGCAAGUCAGAUGUGAAAUCCUAUGGCUUAACCAUAGAACUGCAUUUGAAACUGUUAUUCUAGAGUAUGGGAGAGGUAGGUGGAAUUCUUGGUGUAGGGGUAAAAUCCGUAGAGAUCAAGAGGAAUACUCAUUGCGAAGGCGACCUGCUAGAACAUAACUGACGCUGAUGCGCGAAAGCGUGGGGAGCAAACAGGAUUAGAUACCCCAGUAGUC
This 440-nucleotide ribosomal RNA is filed under the name uncultured bacterium. Its description in RNAcentral is "partial 16S ribosomal RNA". It matches the Rfam family "Bacterial small subunit ribosomal RNA", at positions 338 to 795 of the family's 1533-position model. The record is from RNAcentral.